This 1561-nucleotide long non-coding RNA is filed under the name Nasonia vitripennis (jewel wasp). RNAcentral describes it as "uncharacterized LOC116416663". Lineage: Eukaryota; Metazoa; Arthropoda; Insecta; Hymenoptera; Pteromalidae. The record is from RNAcentral.
ACUUAACCUCACUUUUCUCAGCGGCACAAGAGACGGACUGUACAGUGCACAGCCAAUACUACUGAGACUUCGUCCGCGAGCUGUCGCACUCGUCUGGCAAAUACUUUUUUGGAACCAAGUUUUUCCUUUAUUUGGACAAAUGUUGAUCGUACGGAGGAAAAUCGGCAUUUAUUUAACCUGUAGACUGAUAAAUCGGCACAGCACGAUUAGCCUGAUGGAUUCUUGGUAAGUUGCAUUGACUGUCGCAAACAGCAGACAUUGCAGUGUACAAGCGCAUACCUAUAUACAUAUGAACCAACUCUUAUAAACUGGCAACGGCACUGUAUGUAAGUACGUUUUAUAGGUGUUCCGUGUUAAAAAGGGGCUUUUAUGAGGGCCAAGAUGUUCCGGAUUAAAAAGGGGGCCUUUAUGAGGGCCAAGCGCUACACGGCGAUCCAGGCGUGUGACGCUAUAAGCGUGGCUGUCCGACGGGGCGAGGCGCGCUAAUGGCCGGCCGUAUGGAAGGUCCGGGCCAGGAAAAACCCAGAGACCCGCAAUUGAAAAGGGACCGGUCAUAAAGCGCGUCCCGAAAGAAAAGCCGCUCGGAAAGCACGGUGCGUAAACGACGCAGACAGCGCUGGAGUUUUUUGGUCGGGACCGCUCGGACGAUAGCUAGUAAAAUCGCUCGAUGCGAACGUGCGGCAACGCACGACGACGGCAUUAACAGAGCAAAGCGUCUUUCCAGAAAACUUGCUUCCCCGAAAAUGGCGAUGAGCAUAGCGGCUCAAAAGUGCGAUAUGCGAUGUGCGGGUUUGCGUGUUAGAUUUGCGUGCUACACGAGGUAUGUUACGUGUAGCGCGCCAGCGUAUAGGACCUACACAAAUUCUGUAAGCGUAGGAUGUGUGGGCUAUGCGUGCGUGUAUGGAUGUAUGCAUGAAUGAACCGUAAGUCGGCCCGCAGAUUUGAAUGCUGAGGUAGAAGCCUGUUCUCCCCGGAGCGCGCCCUCUCACAUCGCACGGACGCAAGCCGAUCGACUCGCGGACGCGGCGCCGAACAGUUCGUCGGCAACUCCACGAGGCUUGUUGACCUCACGAGGGAGCUAAGCUCCCGGUGCCCAAUGCAGGUCCGCCUAACGCUCGGGAGUCCGAGGAGGCUUUAGACCUCACGAGGGAGCAAAGGCUCACGGUGCCAAAUGUAGGUCACCUGAUGGCGUCGCGAUAGGACGCGAGUUCGAAGAUGGCGUGCCGUUGCUCCGGUGGUGUCCGGAGGUCGUAGAGAGGGCGGCGUUGACUAUGGAGCAAGAAGGGGGGGGGGGGGGUCGAGCAACGAGAUUCUUAGCACGAAGCAACGACCACCCCCGCGCAGUCCUCCAAGCAGGACAAGGAGGGAGAAACGACCCUGUAGAGGGGGAAGAGCAGGGCCCAGCUCGGCGGAAAAUUCUAACGGACCGACACUUCGUUCGCAGCUCUCGUCAAGAGUAGUAGAGAGAUGACCUAGAUUAAGGUGACACUGCGAAUACAACUUUGUAAACUUGUAUCGAGACUUAUUAUGUACCUAAAUAAAUUAUACAUAUAUACACGGA